CACUGACAAGGUGAAGGUGUCCAAUUGUCCACGUACAUGCCACAGUGACACCCGGUGGCGUGCCUUGCCUUUGAUCGCGAGAGCAAAACGAAGCUUCCGCACAACCGGAGGCCGGCCCGGAGGCCUAAUUGCCACGUACUGUACUGAUGAAUGACAUGACGCCGGCCGAGAGGUCGCUCUACGCGGGAGCUAGCAGCCGGAGCUAGAUGACCUCUCGAUCCGUUGCCUCCACAGCCGUUGCUUCCACAUCUCCACACCUUUGUCUUCAUGGCCGCCACUACUUCCACGCCGUCGUCGUCUCCGUCUCCGUGGCCACCGGCACCUCACCUCCAAACUGUGGCUCAGCAUCUAUCUAGGCCUCCGACACCAUCUUUUGAUUGCUGAUGGCAUCUUCUCCCUUCCACAGACACUGGAGGUUUGUUCACACGGCUGAAACCUGUAGCGUCUAUUUUAUAUGCUGAUGACCGGGUUUUCUACCACCAAGCUGAACAAAGCAAGGAUAGGGUUACCAAUAAAGAUCCUAUUCUUUCUGAUUGGAUUUUAUUGUGCGACGGCCUUUGCUACUGUCAUCUCCUUAUAUGCAUAAAAGUUGUAUGUCAGGUUAAUGUCAUUUUCAGGCUUCAACAUACUUGGGUAAUCUGCUCAGUAAAAUGUAUGGUUAGUCAAUCACAGGGAUGUGGGCAUGUGUUCAUUUGAAUGCUCGGAAUAAUAACUAGCAUUAUGUUUUGCCAUGCUAGAACUGCUUUCAUUAGUUAAUUUAGCCAAGCUAUUUGUAGCAGUUAAUCAAUCAUAAAGCCUAGAACUGCUUUUAUUAGUUAAUUUGGCCAAGCUACUUGUAGCACUUAAUCAAUCAUAAAGCAGUUCUAUAUGUGCCACAAAGCAAUCAGUAAGUUUCUUGGGUCAUUUAUAUUAUGAUUUAUUUGAUCAUUUGCAGGAAAUGCAGCUACUUUUAUCAGCAUGCACAAGUCAAAAAUAGUGCCGAACCAAAUUCUUGCUGGAUAUUAGAUGGUACUCAAUUCAAAUUUUGUAAGAAUUGAACUUCAUUGUAGAAAUUCUGAAAAGUUGUAGCCCUUCUCAAUAUUGUAACCUCUUUUGUUGUCAGUUGUCAUAGACAACUUGUGAGUGUAAAAAGUUGUAAGAACCUAUAUGUGAACACGAUUUUUGUUUUUUUAAAGAAAAUUUAUGUAAGGGUGCCGCAAAGUAUUGCUUAAAUUUUGUUUGUGUACUGCUGGUGAA
Panicum virgatum (switchgrass) is the source of this 1236-nucleotide RNA transcript. RefSeq lists it as uncharacterized. The record is from RefSeq and is a predicted model, not a curated record. The transcript has 3 exons. NCBI's taxonomy places the organism in Eukaryota, Viridiplantae, Streptophyta, Magnoliopsida, Poales, Poaceae.